GACGAACGCUGGCGGCGUGCCUAAUACAUGCAAGUAGAACGCACAGUUUAUACCGUAGCUUGCUACACCAUAGACUGUGAGUUGCGAACGGGUGAGUAACGCGUAGGUAACCUGCCUGGUAGCGGGGGAUAACUAUUGGAAACGAUAGCUAAUACCGCAUAAUAUUGAUUAUUGCAUGAUAAUUAAUUGAAAGGUGCAAUUGCACCACUACCAGAUGGACCUGCGUUGUAUUAGCUAGUAGGUGAGGUAACGGCUCACCUAGGCGACGAUACAUAGCCGACCUGAGAGGGUGAUCGGCCACACUGGGACUGAGACACGGCCCAGACUCCUACGGGAGGCAGCAGUAGGGAAUCUUCGGCAAUGGACGAAAGGCUGACCGAGCAACGCCGCGUGAGGGAAGAAGGGUUUCGGAUCGUAAAGCUCUGUUGUAAGAGAAGAACGGGUGUGAGAGUGGAAAGUUCACACUGUGACGGUAUCUUACCAGAAAGGGACGGCUAACUACGUG
This 505-nucleotide ribosomal RNA is filed under the name uncultured bacterium. RNAcentral's name for it is "partial 16S ribosomal RNA". It matches the Rfam family "Bacterial small subunit ribosomal RNA", at positions 28 to 507 of the family's 1533-position model. The record is from RNAcentral.